AGUGAACGCUGGCGGUAGGCCUAACACAUGCAAGUCGAACGGCAGCACAGUAAGAGCUUGCUCUUACGGGUGGCGAGUGGCGGACGGGUGAGGAAUACAUCGGAAUCUACUUUUUCGUGGGGGAUAACGUAGGGAAACUUACGCUAAUACCGCAUACGACCUACGGGUGAAAGCAGGGGAUCUUCGGACCUUGCGCGAUUGAAUGAGCCGAUGUCGGAUUAGCUAGUUGGCGGGGUAAAGGCCCACCAAGGCGACGAUCCGUAGCUGGUCUGAGAGGAUGAUCAGCCACACUGGAACUGAGACACGGUCCAGACUCCUACGGGAGGCAGCAGUGGGGAAUAUUGGACAAUGGGCGAAAGCCUGAUCCAGCCAUGCCGCGUGGGUGAAGAAGGCCUUCGGGUUGUAAAGCCCUUUUGUUGGGAAAGAAAAGCAGCAGGUUAAUACCCCGCUGUUCUGACGGUACCCAAAGAAUAAGCACCAGCUAACUUCGUG
Molecule: ribosomal RNA, 492 nt
Filed under: uncultured bacterium
Lineage: Bacteria
Description: partial 16S ribosomal RNA
Rfam family: Bacterial small subunit ribosomal RNA
Source: RNAcentral